UGAACGCUAGCGGCAGGCUUAAUACAUGCAAGUCGAGGGGCAGCAUGAACUAGCAAUAGUUUGAUGGCGACCGGCGAAACGGGUGCGGAACACGUACACAACCUUCCUUUAAGUGGGGAAUAGCCCAGAGAAAUUUGGAUUAAUACCCCGUAACACAACGAAGUGGCAUCACUUUGUUGUUAUAGUUUCGGCGCUUAAUGAUGGGUGUGCGUAUGAUUAGAUAGUUGGCGAGGUAACGGCUCACCAAGUCUACGAUCAUUAGCUGAUGUGAGAGCAUGAUCAGCCACACGGGCACUGAGACACGGGCCCGACUCCUACGGGAGGCAGCAGUAAGGAAUAUUGGUCAAUGGACGCAAGUCUGAACCAGCCAUGCCGCGUGAAGGAUUAAGGUCCUCUGGAUUGUAAACUUCUUUUAUAUGGGACGAAAAAAGGUCUUUCUAGACCCCUUGACGGUACCAU
RNAcentral lists this ribosomal RNA (459 nucleotides) under uncultured bacterium. RNAcentral's name for it is "bacterial SSU rRNA". It matches the Rfam family "Bacterial small subunit ribosomal RNA", at positions 30 to 481 of the family's 1533-position model. The record is from RNAcentral.